Molecule: ribosomal RNA, 321 nt
Filed under: Salmonella enterica subsp. enterica serovar Typhimurium
Lineage: Bacteria; Pseudomonadati; Pseudomonadota; Gammaproteobacteria; Enterobacterales; Enterobacteriaceae
Description: partial 23S ribosomal RNA
Rfam family: Bacterial large subunit ribosomal RNA
Source: RNAcentral
CGUCGUGAGACAGUUCGGUCCCUAUCUGCCAUGGGCGUUGGAGAUUUGAGAGGGGCUGCUCCUAGUACGAGAGGACCGGAGUGGACGAACCUCUGGUGUUCCGGUUGUCACGCCAGUGGCAUUGCCGGGUAGCUAUGUUCGGAAGCGAUAACCGCUGAAAGCAUCUAAGCGGGAAGCGCGCCUCAAGAUGAGAUCUCCCGGGGCACAAGCCCCCUGAAGGAACCAUGUAGACUACGUGGUUGAUAGGUCAGGUGUGUAAGUACAGCAAUGUAUUGAGCUAACUGAUACUAAUGAUCCGUGCGGCUUGACCAUAUAACCUCA